This 468-nucleotide ribosomal RNA is filed under the name uncultured bacterium. Its description in RNAcentral is "partial 16S ribosomal RNA". It matches the Rfam family "Bacterial small subunit ribosomal RNA", at positions 28 to 507 of the family's 1533-position model. The record is from RNAcentral.
GACGAACGCUGGCGGCGUGCUUAACACAUGCAAGUCGAACGGAAAGGCCCUGCUUUUGUGGGGUGCUCGAGUGGCGAACGGGUGAGUAACACGUGAGUAACCUGCCCUUGACUUUGGGAUAACUUCAGGAAACUGGGGCUAAUACCGGAUAGGAGCUCCUGCUGCAUGGUGGGGGUGGGAAAGUUUCGGCGGUUGGGGAUGGACUCGCGGCUUAUCAGCUUGUUGGUGGGGUAGUGGCUUACCAAGGCUUUGACGGGUAGCCGGCCUGAGAGGGUGACCGGCCACAUUGGGACUGAGAUACGGCCCAGACUCCUACGGGAGGCAGCAGUGGGGAAUAUUGCACAAUGGGCGGAAGCCUGAUGCAGCAACGCCGCGUGCGGGAUGACGGCCUUCGGGUUGUAAACCGCUUUCGCCUGUGACGAAGCGUGAGUGACGGUAAUGGGUAAAGAAGCACCGGCUAACUCCGUG